This 253-nucleotide ribosomal RNA is filed under the name uncultured bacterium. RNAcentral's name for it is "partial 16S ribosomal RNA". It matches the Rfam family "Bacterial small subunit ribosomal RNA", at positions 527 to 779 of the family's 1533-position model. The record is from RNAcentral.
CGGAGGGGCUAGCGUUGUUCGGAAUUACUGGGCGUAAAGCGCACGUAGGCGGACCAGAAAGUUGGGGGUGAAAUCCCGGGGCUCAACCCCGGAACUGCCUUCAAAACUAUUGGUCUGGAGUUCGAGAGAGGUGAGUGGAAUUCCGAGUGUAGAGGUGAAAUUCGUAGAUAUUCGGAGGAACACCAGUGGCGAAGGCGGCUCACUGGCUCGAUACUGACGCUGAGGUGCGAAAGCGUGGGGAGCAAACAGGAUU